CAGUUGAACGCAAACAGCCAAAAAUGCUGUUGUCACAAAGUGAAGGACAAGCUUCUGAAGCUCUGUCCUUAAGGGGUUAAGAAGGAUCGUAUUGGAAAGAGAUAUGCAAAAGCUUGCUGCAAAAAAAGAACUUGCAGAAAAAUUGUGAUUGCAUGACUUAAGACAUGGUGCUGCAACAACUAAAGCAAGUUAAUGUAAACAGAGCUCUGGAAAUUGACAAUAUUCACCCACAAGUACUAAAGGAGCUAAGUGUGGCAAUAAGUGAACCUCUAUUUUAUAUCUUUCAAGAUUCUUUUCUUUCAGGAAUUGUACUGGAGGAAGGCAUAUUCCUAUAUUCAAAAAGGGUUCAAAAUCUUUGCCUGGAAAUUAAAGACCUGUGUGCUUAACUUCUGUUGCUGGGAAAGUAUUUCAAAGGCUAUCAAGAGAUAAUAUUCAGGAAUUCAUUGAAAAGAACAUUGUUAUUAGAAAUAAUCAUCCUGGUUUUAUGAAACAUUGAUCAUGCCAAACUAAGAUAAUUGCAUUCUAUGAAGAAGUAAGAAGUAUAGAUUGUGGAUGCGAUCUACAUGGACUUUGCCUAGGUGAUGGAUACGGUUCCUCACAAAAGAUUAGUCUUCAAACUAAAAGAAAUUGGUCUAGAUGAAAAUUAUUGGGUAGAAGAUUAGCUUAAAGAUAGAAUAUGUAGAGUUGUCAUUAAUAGUACAUUUUCAAAAUGGACAAAAGUGGUAAGUGGUGUCCCUCAGGGUUAUGUUCUGGGACUGUUUCU
Molecule: non-coding RNA, 763 nt
Organism: Pelobates cultripes (western spadefoot toad)
Lineage: Eukaryota; Metazoa; Chordata; Amphibia; Anura; Pelobatidae
Source: the annotation of a GenBank genome assembly